Molecule: small nuclear RNA, 104 nt
Filed under: Spermophilus dauricus (Daurian ground squirrel)
Lineage: Eukaryota; Metazoa; Chordata; Mammalia; Rodentia; Sciuridae
Source: RNAcentral
AUGCUUGUUUCAGUAGCACAUAUAGUAAAAUUGAAACAAUGCAGAGACUAACCUGGCCCCUGCUCAAAGACAACAUGAAAAUUUAUUUAGUGUUUCAUAUAAUG